RNAcentral lists this long non-coding RNA (5288 nucleotides) under Cucumis sativus (cucumber). RNAcentral describes it as "long non-coding RNA (CSAT_LNC000974)". The record is from RNAcentral. Lineage: Eukaryota; Viridiplantae; Streptophyta; Magnoliopsida; Cucurbitales; Cucurbitaceae.
UUGAUGGCUGCACGUGCAUUUGGUGCACCUCGGAUUGUCAUUGUUGAUGUGGAUGACUAUCGGUUGUCUCUUGCAAAGGAUCUUGGAGCAGAUGAAGUUGUUAAAGUUUCAACUGACAUUCAGGUUUCCUUGUUUUUAUGAAAUUCAUUCAAAUCUCUCCAUUCGUUCAUAAUACAGAUGUCUUCGAUAAUUUAAUUUACAUUCACCAGUCCAAUUUUUAUGGUUAGCAUAGGGAGCUUAGUGAAAAAUGGGCAAUGCUCAAAUUCACACACAAGAAAUACCAGUGUUUUCGAAUGUUACAAAGUUCAAGAGUUGCUAAAAUACAUAGCUUAACUCUGCGUUACUAACGUAUCUAAUGGUGCAGGAUGUAGAUGAAGACGUCACUCAAAUUCAAAAAGCCAUGAAAGGUGAGAUAGAUGUGACAUUGGACUGUGCUGGCUUUGAAAAGACAAUGUCAACAGCCUUAAAAGCCAGCCGACCUGGUGGCAAAGUUUGUCUCAUUGGACUGGGUCACAUUGAGAUGACUGUUCCACUAGGUCCAGCUGCAGCAAGGUAACUGGAUACCUGCUUUAUGCAACACAAGUCAUUUUUUACAUUUUACAAAGUAUAAUUAACAAGUUUUUUAUAAUAUGGCAGGGAAGUUGACAUAAUUGGCGUGUUUCGGUACAAAAACACAUAUCCUGUGUGCUUGGAGUUUAUAAGAAGUGGUAAGAUUGAUGUGAAGUCGAUGAUAACACAUAGAUUUGGUUUCUCACAGAAGGAGGUGGAAGAGGCCUUUGAAACCAGUGCUCGUGGUGGUAAAGCUAUUAAGGUCAUGUUCAACCUGUAAACUCUCAUACAUUGAGAGACAGACACAAAGUGCUGUGUGUUCUGCAUGUCUCAUAUCAAUUGUACUCUGCAGAGUAAAAAAUCAAUAAAAUCUGUUCACAAUGUGAUAUUUAUAUUUCAUAUUACACUACUUUUCCUUUUCCCACUCUUACCCAAUGUGCCAAUUUCACAUGUUGAACCCGACAGAUGGCAAAGGCUCACACACAUGGCCUUGAAAUAAACAACCCACAAAUUGCAAACCAUUCUUCAACUACAACUGCAAUUAUACUCUUCAAAAUUAAUAAUUAAGUAUUUAAACUUAUCCAAUUUUUAAAAAUUGAACCCGAAAACUCAUAUGAUUUUAUAAAUUGUACUAAUUAUAUAAUUCUAAUGUUUUAUUUGUAAUUAUUGGUGGACUCAUGUUUUUUUUAAAUUAGUGUAAUCUUAAAGAUUCAAUUUUAACCUUUUAAAAUUUUUUAUUACUCAACUGUUACUGUUGAAAAUUAAGGAUACGAUUGUAACUAUUCCAUACUUUUUUGUGGUGAUUUUUGCCAUUUUUUCUUAAAAGUAUAAUGAUCUAUUUUAAAUUAUCUAUCAAAUUUAGAUAUUUUAAAAUGGGAACAUUUUCAAUUUUCCUAAUUUAAGAAUUUCAAGAAUCAAAUCUCUAACCAAAUUGACAGAGUCUACUUCAAUUUUUUUUUUUCACAUUUAUAUACUUCAAAAGAUUAAUAAUUUUUCAAAAACUAUUUGAUUUUUUUUUGUGACAAAAUAUGCUCAAAUAUGCACCAACAAAUUGAAUGUUAUAAAAUGAAUUAUAUCUAAACUUAAACUGACAUAUAUACAUAUACAUAUACACGCAUAUAUAUAAAUUGUGUAUAUAUGGAUAUAGAUGUAUGUAUAUGUAUAUAUAUGUAUACAUAUGCACAUAUGUGAAAAGAAAAAAAAAAACUCCGUAAAUAGUUUUAAUAUUUUUCUGUUUUUUAAAAUAUCUCUAAUGAAAAUUGUUUUGCCUGUGUUGUUUAAUUGCUUUCUAAAUUACUUCUCUCAAACAUUAUUUAUCUAUGGAAUCUUGUAGUCUAGUCAUUUCUUUCUAGUUUUUUGGAGCAACUUCUAAGAUAUUUUGUGUGAAACUUAUUUCUAAUUUAUAUCACAUCCUGUUUAAUUGCUUUAGCUCUAAUGUUAUUGUUAUGAAUUACAUUUUCAUAUUUGGUUGAUAAACAAUUGUGGUUUUGUAAUCUGAAUGCUUUGAUUUAGGCAAUGAAGCAACAGUAUCAAAAUAUUUAUUAGGCCUUCUUUUGAAUUUAUUUCAACUUUUAAAUGUAUAAUUAUGUUACAUAUUGCAAUCUUCCAUUAAUAGUGUGUUAUUCUUUGCUAAUCAUCUCAUAGGAAUGUUUACAUUCAUUGUAGAAUGUCUAGCCAUAUUUGGUCAAGUAGUAAUUAGUUAACCAUGUAUUUCAUAGUUUAGCUAGAAUACUUGUCAUAGCUAGGUUUAAGGAUAAAUUGAUUGAUUAGAAUAGGACAAAUUUCACUAAUUAAUCAUACAAUAAUGAAAUCCUAAAGCUUAAUGUACACUUCAAGAGUCUUAUAUGAUCACUUUUUGAAUCCAAUAAAAUUUAUGAUGUGUAGUUUAAUUAGUUGUGCUUUAGUUAACUGUCUUUAAUUAAUAAUUAUAAUAUUUUUUUAUAUUAAACUUUAGCUAUUUGACACGACUUAAGUGAGUAAGUGUACGCGCAUAAAUCAAUUAGCUAUAUAUAUUCUUAAAAAGAAAAAAGAAAAAAGAAAAAGAGUUAAGCAUGAUAAAAAAGAAAAUUGGAUAGGGGUUGUUCGCUCUUUAGAAUUAAGAUUGGUAAAAAUUAGAAUUACAUAUUUAUUUAAUUUACGAACACAUUUGAAGUUUAUUUUUUCUACGUUUCAACGUUCUUUAGGAUCUAUCAGAAUUUCAAAAAAAAAUAUUCUCUAAUUUGUAUCCAUUUGAUUGUCUUUUAUAGGGUUUUGUAGGUUUCCUCCAUUUUUUAAAGUCAUAUGCACCACCGCCUGUUUUCAAAAUAUUAUUUUUCUUUUUUUUUAUUAUUCUGAUUUAUGGACAAUCAAUGUACAAACAAUAUAUAUAUAUAUAUAUAUAUUGAAUACUGAGGUGGCAAAUGUAUUUACACAUGGCAUGAUGUGACGGAUUUGGAAAAAAUCCUCAAAUACGCCCAAAAAUUUGAAGAGGCACACCCACACGAAAUUUAGCAUUAUUAUAUAAACACCUUCUUUUUAAUUAAAUCAUACUCCCUUGUUUUCCCUCUCUCUCUCUCUCUCUUUUUCGAUGAAACUUUCAUACUCUCUUCAAUUAAUUUCAAAUCAAGUUUCUAUUUACGAUCAUUAUUUUAAAGGACUAAAUUACUGACAAUAUCUACAAAUAAAAUAAAAAGUAAAAUUUCACAGUUCAUCCAUCAAUUAUAUUUUGCUUUUUUGAUUGAUUUUGAAUUGGGUUAUGUGCCAUUAUUAGAAUGUCAACUAUGAAGAAUCAAAUUCGUUGAGACUCAGCUAUGAUCGGUUUUUCUUUUUAAUAUAUAUGUCUAUUUUAGGAAUAUAAUAUAAACAACAAGUGAGGCUUCGAUCUCAUCCACAACCACCUCUCCCUACAACGGUGCCUCAAAUUUUCAACCCAAUAAAUAAAACGACCCUUCCGAAUUUCAGUCCACUCAGGGAGUAGAAAGAAAAAAAAUAUCAUGGGUAAAGGAGGAAUGUCUCAGGGGGGCAGUGGCGAAGAUGGAGUUGAAGAAAAUAUGGCUGCUUGGCUUCUGGGUAUCAAUAACUUGAAGAUUCAACCUUUCCACCUACCUCCUCUUGGUAUCCCUUUCUCUUCUUAUACUGCUCAAUUACCCGCUUUCCUUUAUAGAUUCUUCAUCUUCCUUAACUUUUUCAAUUUUAUUAAUAUCACUCAACUCUUUCUUGAUGUCGAAUUUCAGGACCCCAUGAUGUUAGAAUUAAGAUGAAGGCCGUUGGUAUCUGCGGCAGUGAUGUUCACUACCUCAAGGUACCGUUUUUCCUGCCUCAGUUGUUUUUUUUUUUUUUUGUUGGUUUUUAAAGUUUUGGAAUCAUGGGUUUAUCUGCUCUGUUCAUUACUAUGUUCAAUCCAUGUCCUUUUUCUUCUUUUUAUUAAUUCUGAUCUGGGAAAUUGACUAGAGAAGAAUAUGCGAUGCUGAUCUUGAGAAAUUCGUAUACUUGGUUUAGUUUACGAGCUCAUACUUUUGUUUUUAUUUGAGCAUGCAAGAAUAAAUUGAUCGGACUUAUGCUUUGUCUCCAUAUUUUCAGAAUCUGAAAUUGGCACACUAUGUUGUUAAAGAGCCAAUGGUGAUUGGGCAUGAGUGCGCUGGGAUUGUUGCUGAAGUUGGGGCUGAUGUUAAGCAUUUAGUGCCGGGGGAUCGGGUUGCACUGGAGCCUGGAAUUAGUUGCUGGAGAUGUGGUCAAUGCAAAGAAGGCCGCUACAAUCUGUGCCCAGACAUGAAGUUCUUUGCCACUCCCCCUAUUCAUGGUUCUCUUGCGAAUGAGGUGAGCGACCUCUGUGCCUCUUGACUCUCCAUAUCAUUUAACCACUUAUUUUAUGAACUCUAGCGAAUUUUAUAGCUAAGGGAAGAAGCAAGGUUUGAUUAUUGUGUCAAAUUUACUGUUGGUUCUCCAUCAAGAUGUUCUUAUAUUUUUGCCUUUUAGAAGAUUAGGUAGUUUUAAAUGGACCAUUAGUAUUACAUGCAUUGAUACGUGCAUUUGGUGCGGAUAACCCUUGUCUGAUGCUUCUCUUGAACUUGAAAUUUUACCCGUUAGUAUUGUGGAAAGUCUAUGUUGUAAGAAGCAUGUGCUGAUUCUUAUUUAGUUGGUUUAUUCAUUGAAUUUUAUGAUAUGAUUUAUGGAGAUCUCAAUGCUAAGACAUGUGUGAUAUAUAUCAAGUUUAUGGUGUUCUCCAUGAUUGCAUGAUGAUCACCUUUUCUUUCUUACAGGUGGUUCAUCCAGCGGACCUGUGUUUUAAAUUGCCAGAAAAUGUUAGCUUAGAGGAAGGAGCCAUGUGUGAGCCCUUAAGUGUUGGUGUUCAUGCUUGUCGACGUGCUAAUGUUGGUCCAGAAACAAAUGUUUUGAUCAUGGGAGCCGGACCAAUUGGGCUUGUAACUUUGAUGGCUGCACGUGCAUUUGGUGCACCCCGGGUUGUCAUUGUUGAUGUGGAUGACUAUCGAUUGUCUGUUGCAAAGGAUCUUGGAGCAGAUGAAGUUGUUAAAGUUUCAAUUGACCUUCAGGUUUCCUGUCUUUAGAAAAUUCAUUUAAAACUCUCCAUUCUUUCGUAGUAACAAUCUUCAGUAAUUUACAUUCACCUGUCCAAUUUUAUUGGUCAAUUGGUCAAAUAUACACUCAAGAAAUACCAGUGUUUUCAAAUCUUACGAAGUGCCAAAUUUGCCAAAGUACAAAGUUUUACUGCGCGUUGCCAACAUAUCUAAUGGUGCAGGAUG